This 2357-nucleotide long non-coding RNA is filed under the name Bemisia tabaci. Its description in RNAcentral is "lncRNA ENSSSA2NGG005639". The record is from RNAcentral. Lineage: Eukaryota; Metazoa; Arthropoda; Insecta; Hemiptera; Aleyrodidae.
AGAGUUAUUUCGUCGGCGAUGGAUCUAUUUACGGACAGUCCUUGUGCCGGUGCGAUGUGUUGGUGCAGUCGAGUAGGUAUUGUUACCGGGCCGCGACGGGCCCGCAAGUGUCUUGCACGACAAACUUGGCUCGCGUACAGUUUGGCUCCCAAAGUUACGAAUAUUUCGCAGGAGACAGCAUCUGAGCUGAAAAAAAGAAAAAACCAAGCAAAACAAAAUUUAAGUACAAGGAUUGGUAGAGAGCAACAGCUGAGUAAAUAGAUUUUGAACAUUGGAUUGAUUGAAACAAUUAAGCAUAAAUAUGGAUGUUAACACCAAGCCUUGCUUUGCAGGCAAAACGCAUGGUAGAUGCAGAUGAAGGUUAGCCAAGGCAGCAUUUAAAAUCUGCGAAAGCAGUAAAAAUUCUGUGCGUCUUCUCGGUUUGAUAUGAGAAUAUACUACAUAAUGCAGAUUUCUGACAUCACCCUGAUCACAAACCGGUUUCUACUCUACCGACUGCUUCUUUAUGCUUCAGCCAAAUGCUUUUUCUAGGGCACAAUACGUUCUGUUAAAUGGACUGUUCAGCAUACUCCAACCUGGGUUUAGCAUGAUGCUGCUGUUUACGCAACGGCCAAUUCAGUUUCUGUGUGAAAUCCGUUUUACUCCUAUGUGAAUUUGACUAGAAAAUGUUUUAUCCCUAAAGUGGACUUCGUUGUAACAUUGGUUUAUCCCCAAGUGUACAAUGUUAGAAAAGUGAUUCGGCCUGGACUGAACUAUUCAGUCAAGGGCGCACUCUGUCUAGAUGCUCUGCAUAGGCUCAACAUAAUAGUAAAAACACCUAGACGCCAGUUCAGAUUUUGCAUAUUUUUUCGGUUGAUACUUGCAACAAGCUCUUGCCCUUUCCAACAAGAUAACCUGAUCACCUAACCACCAGUAUUCAUUUUUCUAGUUUGAGUUCUCGGUGGUAUUUCGGUUUUCCUUAAAAUAUGAAGGAUUGGCCCUUGUUCAUUAUCUUGAGAUCGAACAAAUUUCUAGAAAAAUUGGAACAAUCUAAAUUGCAUUUACAGCAUUUCUGCUGUGAAUAGCAGAAAAAGAUUUACCAACACAACAUUCCUGAUACCAAUGAAAUCAUUUCGCUGCAGAGUUACGACACAGAUAAAUGCUAAUGAACUAUUAUGUGAAGCCUCACUGAAAAAUGAGUGCUAACAAAAAACACUGAUCAAUAUUCAUAGAGGUGUUGUUAGCUAAGUUGACGGUUGUGUACUUUCCGUUUGCAAGUGUUUUCGCGUCACUACUAUCCACACGAAAGCAUCCGACUCUCGCAGAAGCUAGAAUACAAACUUAGAUAAGUUUUUUAAUACUUUCAAAUCUUGUAACAUUUUAAUUUUAGCCACACAGAAAUCACAACCACAUCAAAGUCGCAAAUCAUAACUGAUAAGUAGUUUUUAACGAUACGAUCAUGAGGCGGAUGUUUUCAAAGUGGAUAGUAGUGAACGCCGCUUUGUGCAGAGGCCCCACUUUAUUGUUGGCGCUUGCAAACCAAAAGUAAACAACUGUCAAAUUAGCUGACGACACCUCUAGACAAGAUAUAAAAAAGUAUUUAAGAAUAAAAAAGAAGGAUGGAAGAGGCUUACUGGUGUCUGAGGCGGGGCUGUUACCACCAUCUUGAACAAGAUCAGAAAUUUUAUCAUCAGUUAACCAAGGAUUCUGGACAUGGAAAAGAAGCAACAAAAAAAGAAUGAGUUUUGAUGAUGAACUGAAAAUUGCUAUCCCUGGUUUGCACUUGAAAGCUACUUACAUCAUUUGAUGUACAUCGCUUUACUAUGGUGCGAUGGAAAAACAGGCACACAACUUUGUUGGAAAGUGAGCAAGUAUUUCUUGCGAUCAAAAUGUAUUUUGCUCACUGAGCCACUGGUUGAUUUAUGAUUAAUAAAUGAUAAAAUGGAAAUGAAGUAUCGAAAUGAAUUAUACGUGAGAGUUUGAAGAUCUGAGGUUAUGAUCUAAAACUGGGGAAAGAAAAGAAGAGACAAAUGUCACCUCCAAAGAUUGUACCAUUCAACAGAUAAGGGGUUUUCUUCUUCUGAUUGGUGAAACCACCGGUGGAAUUCCUGUAAGAAAUUGCUCGCGAUCAGUCGGAAGUUUAAGAACGCACUUUCCACCAAUGUAAACAAAUGGGUUUCUUCCUCUUUUCAAACUUUUACCGCAAUGAUACUGCAAUAGUGCAAAUAAUACUCAAUGUACCAGCAUUAACUUCUUUUCUGUCAUAAUUAAAGUACGAGGAAAAAUAACACUAAAAAAUAUUACAUAGUUUCUUUAUAUUUUCGUAUACAGCCCUCCACACAAGCAGCAUUGCUUACUGGAGGGUCUUGCCAGUUUAA